Molecule: microRNA precursor, 63 nt
Filed under: Gadus morhua (Atlantic cod)
Lineage: Eukaryota; Metazoa; Chordata; Actinopteri; Gadiformes; Gadidae
Description: Gmo-Mir-216-P2a_pre stem-loop
Source: RNAcentral
UAAUCUCUGCAGGCAACUGUGAUGGUGUGUUUAUAAAUCUCACAAUCACCUGGAGAGAUUCUG